Molecule: ribosomal RNA, 347 nt
Filed under: Hoplisoma kanei
Lineage: Eukaryota; Metazoa; Chordata; Actinopteri; Siluriformes; Callichthyidae
Description: Corydoras kanei partial 12S ribosomal RNA
Rfam family: Bacterial small subunit ribosomal RNA
Source: RNAcentral
CGCCAGGGAACUACGAGCCCAGCUUGAAACCCAAAGGACUUGGCGGUGUCUCAGACCCACCUAGAGGAGCCUGUUCUAGAACCGAUAAACCCCGUUAAACCUCACCACUUCUUGCUUAUUCCGCCUAUAUACCGCCGUCGUCAGCUUACCCCGUGAGGUCUCAACAGUAAGCAAAAUGAGUAGAACCCAAAACGUCAGGUCGAGGUGUAGCAUACGAAGUGGGAAGAAAUGGGCUACAUUUUCUAACACAGAAAACUACGGAUGUUGUACUGAAACGUACUGUUGAAGGUGGAUUUAGAAGUAAAAAGCAAAUAGAGAGUCCUUUUGAACCAGGCUCUGAGAUACGC